RNAcentral lists this transfer RNA (65 nucleotides) under Microcosmus sulcatus. RNAcentral describes it as "transfer RNA-Leu (CUN)". The record is from RNAcentral. Lineage: Eukaryota; Metazoa; Chordata; Ascidiacea; Stolidobranchia; Pyuridae.
UUCCUUAUAAGAUAAAAUAAUCUAUAGUUUUUAGGUGACUAAAAUGAAUAACAAUUCUUAGGAGA